GUCUUUUUGAGAAUAAUUUAAAGUCUAAUCUGCCCACUGAUCAAUAUUAAAGGGCUGCAGUAUAAUGACUGUACAAAGGUAGCAUAAUCAAUAGUUUUUUAAUUGGAAACUUGUAUGAAAGAUUUGAUGAAAUAUAAACUGUCUCUUAUUUAUUAUUAGAAAUUUAUUUUUUAGUUAAAAAGCUAAAAUAAUUUUAAAAGACGAGAAGACCCUAUAGAGUUUUAUAUUUAUUUUUAUUUUAUAGGUAUAUAAAAAUUUAAAAUAAGAUAAAAAUAAAUAUUUUGUUGGGGUGACAGAAAAAUUAAAUUAACUUUUUUUAAAAAUUAAACAUAGAUAAAUGAUUAAAUGAUCCAUUGAUAAUGAUUAUAAGAAAAAAUUACCUUAGG
RNAcentral lists this ribosomal RNA (386 nucleotides) under Hipparchia fagi (woodland grayling). RNAcentral's name for it is "partial 16S ribosomal RNA". Lineage: Eukaryota; Metazoa; Arthropoda; Insecta; Lepidoptera; Nymphalidae. The record is from RNAcentral.